UUAAGCGACUAAGCGUACACGGUGGAUGCCCUGGCAGUCAGAGGCGAUGAAGGACGUGCUAAUCUGCGAAAAGCGUCGGUAAGGUGAUAUGAACCGUUAUAACCGGCGAUGUCCGAAUGGGGAAACCCAGUGCAAUUCGUUGCACUAUCGUUAACUGAAUACAUAGGUUAACGAGGCGAACCGGGGGAACUGAAACAUCUAAGUACCCCGAGGAAAAGAAAUCAACCGAGAUUCCCCCAGUAGCGGCGAGCGAACGGGGAGCAGCCCAGAGUCUGAAUCAGCUUGUGUGUUAGUGGAACGGUCUGGAAAGUCCGACGGUACAGGGUGAUAGUCCCGUACACCAAAAUGCACAGGUUGUGAACUCGAAGAGUAGGGCGGGACACGUGGUAUCCUGUCUGAAUAUGGGGGGACCAUCCUCCAAGGCUAAAUACUCCUGACUGACCGAUAGUGAACCAGUACCGUGAGGGAAAGGCGAAAAGAACCCCGGCGAGGGGAGUGAAAAAGAACCUGAAACCGUGUACGUACAAGCAGUGGGAGCACCUUCGGGUGUGACUGCGUACCUUUUGUAUAAUGGGUCAGCGACUUAUAUUCUGUAGCAAGGUUAACCGUAUAGGGGAGCCGCAGGGAAACCGAGUCUUAACUGGGCGUUAAGUUGCAGGGUAUAGACCCGAAACCCGGUGAUCUAGCCAUGGGCAGGUUGAAGGUUGGGUAACACUAACUGGAGGACCGAACCGACUAAUGUUGAAAAAUUAGCGGAUGACUUGUGGCUGGGGGGGAAAGGCCAAUCAAACCGGGAGAUAGCUGGUUCUCCCCGAAAGCUAUUUAGGUAGCGCCUCGUGAACUCAUCUUCGGGGGUAGAGCACUGUUUCGGCUAGGGGGUCAUCCCGACUUACCAACCCGAUGCAAACUACGAAUACCGAAGAAUGUUAUCACGGGAGACACACGGCGGGUGCUAACGUCCGUCGUGAAGAGGGAAACAACCCAGACCGCCAGCUAAGGUCCCAAAGUCAUGGUUAAGUGGGAAACGAUGUGGGAAGGCACAGACAGCCAGGAUGUUGGCUUAGAAGCAGCCAUCAUUUAAAGAAAGCGUAAUAGCUCACUGGUCGAGUCGGCCUGCGCGGAAGAUGUAACGGGGCUAAACCAUGCACCGAAGCUGCGGCAGCGACACUAUGUGUUGUUGGGUAGGGGAGCGUUCUGUAAGCCUGCGAAGGUGUGCUGUGAGGCAUGCUGGAGGUAUCAGAAGUGCGAAUGCUGACAUAAGUAACGAUAAAGCGGGUGAAAAGCCCGCUCGCCGGAAGACCAAGGGUUCCUGUCCAACGUUAAUCGGGGCAGGGUGAGUCGACCCCUAAGGCGAGGCCGAAAGGCGUAGUCGAUGGGAAACAGGUUAAUAUUCCUGUACUUGGUGUUACUGCGAAGGGGGGACGGAGAAGGCUAUGUUAGCCGGGCGACGGUUGUCCCGGUUUAAGCAUGUAGGCUGAUUGUCCAGGCAAAUCCGGAUAAUCAAGGCUGAGGUGUGAUGACGAGGCACUACGGUGCUGAAGUAACAAAUGCCCUGCUUCCAGGAAAAGCCUCUAAGCAUCAGGUAACAUUAAAUCGUACCCCAAACCGACACAGGUGGUCAGGUAGAGAAUACCAAGGCGCUUGAGAGAACUCGGGUGAAGGAACUAGGCAAAAUGGUGCCGUAACUUCGGGAGAAGGCACGCUGGUGUGUAGGUGAAGUCCCUGCGGAUGGAGCUGAGACCAGUCGAAGAUACCAGCUGGCUGCAACUGUUUAUUAAAAACACAGCACUGUGCAAACACGAAAGUGGACGUAUACGGUGUGACGCCUGCCCGGUGCCGGAAGGUUAAUUGAUGGGGUUAUCCGUAAGGAGAAGCUCUUGAUCGAAGCCCCGGUAAACGGCGGCCGUAACUAUAACGGUCCUAAGGUAGCGAAAUUCCUUGUCGGGUAAGUUCCGACCUGCACGAAUGGCGUAAUGAUGGCCAGGCUGUCUCCACCCGAGACUCAGUGAAAUUGAACUCGCUGUGAAGAUGCAGUGUACCCGCGGCAAGACGGAAAGACCCCGUGAACCUUUACUAUAGCUUGACACUGAACAUUGAGCCUUGAUGUGUAGGAUAGGUGGGAGGCUUUGAAGCGUGGACGCCAGUCUGCGUGGAGCCAACCUUGAAAUACCACCCUUUAAUGUUUGAUGUUCUAACGUUGGCCCCUUACCGGGGUUGCGGACAGUGUCUGGUGGGUAGUUUGACUGGGGCGGUCUCCUCCCAAAGCGUAACGGAGGAGCACGAAGGUUAGCUAAUCCUGGUCGGACAUCAGGAGGUUAGUGCAAUGGCAUAAGCUAGCUUGACUGCGAGCGUGACGGCGCGAGCAGGUGCGAAAGCAGGUCAUAGUGAUCCGGUGGUUCUGAAUGGAAGGGCCAUCGCUCAACGGAUAAAAGGUACUCCGGGGAUAACAGGCUGAUACCGCCCAAGAGUUCAUAUCGACGGCGGUGUUUGGCACCUCGAUGUCGGCUCAUCACAUCCUGGGGCUGAAGUAGGUCCCAAGGGUAUGGCUGUUCGCCAUUUAAAGUGGUACGCGAGCUGGGUUUAGAACGUCGUGAGACAGUUCGGUCCCUAUCUGCCGUGGGCGCUGGAGAAUUGAGGGGGGCUGCUCCUAGUACGAGAGGACCGGAGUGGACGCAUCACUGGUGUUCGGGUUGUCAUGCCAAUGGCACUGCCCGGUAGCUAAAUGCGGAAGAGAUAAGUGCUGAAAGCAUCUAAGCACGAAACUUGCCCCGAGAUGAGUUCUCCCUGAGACUUUAAGUCUCCUGAAGGAACGUUGAAGACGACGACGUUGAUAGGCCGGGUGUGUAAGCGCAGCGAUGCGUUGAGCUAACCGGUACUAAUGAACCGUGAGGCUUAACCUU
Molecule: ribosomal RNA, 2900 nt
Filed under: Klebsiella pneumoniae
Lineage: Bacteria; Pseudomonadati; Pseudomonadota; Gammaproteobacteria; Enterobacterales; Enterobacteriaceae
Description: bacterial LSU rRNA
Rfam family: Bacterial large subunit ribosomal RNA
Source: RNAcentral